GCUCAAUGAUGAUAUAAAGGCUAAUGUGACUUGACCAGCUGGGUUGCACCCUCAGCCCAUUCCAGUAAUAGGGGUCUGUAAUCUUGGUGGACAAUGCAGAGCUGUGCGUGUUCGCUGUAAGGGCAGGCCGACAGAAAAUCCCCUUCCCCACAUCCUUGGAAAAUACAUCUUUGGGAUGCAUCAGCUCUGAGUGAGUGUUUCUAUGAGCUGACGGGGGGCUGUGGGGAUAGGACAGGAUAGCACAUCCAAGGUUUGGGUUGCAGGGGGUAGCCCAUGUUACAGCUGGUAAGAUGUGAGCACACGUCUUUGGUAAUCUGAUGACU
Non-coding RNA from Fulmarus glacialis (Northern fulmar), 323 nucleotides. NCBI's taxonomy places the organism in Eukaryota, Metazoa, Chordata, Aves, Procellariiformes, Procellariidae. The record is from Rfam.